RNAcentral lists this ribosomal RNA (255 nucleotides) under uncultured bacterium. Its description in RNAcentral is "partial 16S ribosomal RNA". It matches the Rfam family "Bacterial small subunit ribosomal RNA", at positions 524 to 777 of the family's 1533-position model. The record is from RNAcentral.
GACGUAGGGCGCGAGCGUUGUCCGGAUUUAUUGGGCGUAAAGAGCGUGUAGGCGGCCUGAAAGGUCAGCUGUGAAAACUCGAGGCUCAACCUCGAGACGUCGGUUGAAACCAUCUGGCUAGAGUCCGGAAGAGGAGAGUGGAAUUCCCGGUGUAGCGGUGAAAUGCGCAGAUAUCGGGAAGAACACCCGUGGCGAAGGCGGCUCUCGUGGGACGGUACUGACGCUGAGACGCGAAAGCGUGGGGAGCGAACGAGG